GAUGAACGCUAGCGGCAGGCCUAACACAUGCAAGUCGAGGGGCAGCACAGAAACAGCAAUGCUUUGGUGGCGACCGGCGGACGGGUGCGUAACGCGUAUGCAACCUACCUUUAACAGGGGGAUAACGGAGAGAAAUUUCCACUAAUACCCCAUAACAUCGAUCAAGGCAUAUUGAUUGGUUGAAAACUCCGGUGGUUAAGGAUGGCAUGCGUUGUAUUAGGUAGUUGGUGAGGUAAUGGCUAACCAAGCCUACGAUACAUAGGGGGACUGAGAGGUUAGCCCCCCACACUGGUACUGAGACACGGACCAGACUCCUACGGGAGGCAGCAGUGAGGAAUAUUGGUCAAUGGGGGCAACCCUGAACCAGCCAUGCCGCGUGCAGGAAGACGGCUCUAUGAGUUGUAAACUGCUUUUAAACAGGGAUAAAGCACAGUAUGUAUACCGUGUUGAAGGUACUGUAAGAAUAAGGAUCGGCUAACUCCGUGCCAGCCGCCGCAGUAA
Molecule: ribosomal RNA, 501 nt
Filed under: uncultured bacterium
Lineage: Bacteria
Description: partial 16S ribosomal RNA
Rfam family: Bacterial small subunit ribosomal RNA
Source: RNAcentral